UGGGGAAUCUUGGACAAUGGGGGCAACCCUGAUCCAGCCAUGCCGCGUGAGUGAUGAAGGCCUUAGGGUCGUAAAGCUCUUUCGCCUGUGAAGAUAAUGACGGUAGCAGGUAAAGAAACCCCGGCUAACUCCGUGCCAGCAGCCGCGGUAAUACGGAGGGGGUUAGCGUUGUUCGGAAUUACUGGGCGUAAAGCGCACGUAGGCGGACCAGAAAGUUGGGGGGUGAAAUCCCGGGGGCUCAACCCCGGAACUGCCUCCAAAACUAUUGGUCUAGAGUUCGAGAGAGGUGAGUGGAAUUCCAAGUGUAGAGGUGAAAUUCGUAGAUAUUUGGAGGAACACCAGUGGCGAAGGCGGCUCACUGGCUCGAUACUGACGCUGAGGUGCGAAAAGUGUGGGGAGCAAAACAGGAUUAGAUACCCCUGGUAGUCCCACACCGUAAAACGAUGAAUGCCAGUCGUCGGGGUAGCAUGCUAUUCGGUGACACACCUAACGGAUUAAGCAUUCC
This 505-nucleotide ribosomal RNA is filed under the name uncultured bacterium. RNAcentral's name for it is "bacterial SSU rRNA". It matches the Rfam family "Bacterial small subunit ribosomal RNA", at positions 355 to 870 of the family's 1533-position model. The record is from RNAcentral.